AAGCGGCCCGCCACCCCGGCGCCCGGCGAGCUCCCGUGAUGCCGCGGGGCCGGCCAAUGGAGUCGGCUCCUCCCCGCCCGCGGGCCGGGCCCCCGGGAGCGCUUGAAUGUCUUCUGCGGCCACUUCUGAGUUGGAUAUAUCUACUAAGAAGACAAGACUUACUUUCAUCAUCUGAAUCAAAUCCAAAGAGUGUCUGACAUUUCUUUUGUGCAAGAUGAGCCUCAAGUGCUUCUGCAUUACAAUGGAGUCUUGCUCUGUCUCCCAGGCUGGAGUGCAGUGGCGCAAUCUCGGCUAACUGCAACCUCCACCUCCCAAGUUCAAGUGAUUCUUCUGCCUCAGCCUCCCGAGUAGCUGAGACUACAGAAUCAUUUGACAUUAAUGGAGUCUUCAUGACAGCCAUAAUAAAAAUGCCUUGCUUCUUCCUCAGAAUUGUUAAGAACUCCACAAGAGGAGGGUUUUUGUUGUGCUUACUACUGUUUUUCUCAGACCUGAAUGCACAGCACUGUAAGGACUCAAUAAACAUCUGCAGAGUAAAAGUUCAAGAAUGAAUCACCAAGAAUACAAGUGUUAAAAGAAAAAUGGAAUGGAAAAUUUAAGUUUUAAAUACUUGAAUAUAUACUCUAAUUGGAACGUAAGUUCCAUGAUGGGUUUUUUUUACCUCUUUUGCUGGAUGUAAGAAUGGUUAAAGUAGAAUGUUCAAUAUAAUGUACCUAAUACAACAGUACUGGUUGUCUAUAAGCCUUUCUUUUAACACCGUGGUAACAAAUACAAGAUACGUUGUCUGUAUAUUUCAGUUCUAAAUGGGUGGUUAGAGACACUUAAUUCCUAAGGGGAACUCAAAGUACAUCUUCCUUUUACUUCACCGAGUGGAUCAAGGUUCCUUCCCAAUAAGUGGUAAAGAGAUCAAAUGUUAUUUCAUCUAUAGGAGAGGUCUUGAAUCUUUUGUCAUUCCCAUCUGAAUUUACUCUUCUCUCCUACACCAAGUGCCCCCACCUCAAAAAAAUAAAUAAAUUUCUGCCUCCGAGCUUGGCAACCUUAUUAUGAGAGAGAAAAUCAAGUACAGCCAAAGGAAAACUAGCAUGGGAUAGACAGCCUGCUUCAAGUCUAGCAAAGAAGAUCAUUUUUCACCAGGGCUAAGUUCUAGAAAUCUACAAGGGUUGUAGAAGGCUCUUUUCUAGCAAAUGUGGAAUAGGAACUCCAGCUAUGAACUGCUUGGGAAUAUCAUUAAAAAUUAAUUUUAAGAGUUUUCUUAUCUGCCAGUAAUAACAGGACCUUAAACAUUGCUAUCUUAGCAACCAUUAAAAACUUAUAAGCAAUAAAUAACCAAUAAGCUAUAUUUAGGGGGAGCAUAAUGGCCUAUUUUAAAUGUAGACAAAAUGUGAAGUAGUAAACUGUUUUUUUACCUGGAAUGAUCCAAGAAUAUCCUUUAAGGGCUCUUCAUAAAACUCAUCUCUUCCAAAGAACAGCAGCAACUCAAAGAAACUCCUAGAAAGAAUAAGCAAAUAACUUUCAUUGCUGGAGUUCUGCUCCAAUUACAAGAUUAUCAAAUAGUAACAGCUAUCUAAUAUCAAAUAUUUGACUUAAAAUUUUUUGAUUUAAAAAAAUUGUACUCAUCACUAGAAUUCACAUUAUAUUUUCUCUAAGACUUUAAAAGAAGUGCCUUCAAGAAGAAUACAAACAAAUAUACUUAAGUUUCAGAACUAUGGAAUGAAAUAAUUAUACUACUCAUGCCUACAAAUGACCACACUGCAGUAAAAUUUAAUGGCAUACAAAGUCACAACGAUGAUGGCUAUACAUGGAAGGAUCAUCUAAACUGAAAACAUGAAGUCCGGCUUCACCCUAAUGUAACGGGACUCCAGAGAAAAUCCAAAAUCUCAUUUUUUUUCAGGGUGAUAUAAGAGUUGAAUAAAAUUAACACAAAAACAUAAGACAAGUUAGAGAAUCACCAUAAAACUCUAGGCCAAUAUUUAUAUUAUAGCAUAUACUAAAAUUAUAUCUAAUAAAUGACAUGUGGUUCCUCACAUUAGGCUUACCUUGAUUAUCCCACUCAUAACAGGAUUGCUCAAAUUCUGUAGUUCCUCCUUUUUAAAUAAAUUAUUUGGAAAAUACUGUUACUAAAUACUUUAUGUGCUUUUAAUAAUUUAUGAGUUCAUAAAGAAAGGAACAUGAAAAAUUAUAAAAUUAUUUAUUUAGCAAUCCAAAGUAGUACAGGUAACAAAUCCCUCUAAAUCCUAUAUCUUAAUUCAUGUAGCAGAUCCUCAAGUGUGAAUACCUGAGGUUGUUUCUUUUUUAGUAAAUGGUUUUUGCUUUUAAUCAAAUCACUAAUAAAGACUAAAAUUAUAAUAUAUAAUAUAGCUAUUGUAAUAAUAAAGACUAAAAUUAUAAUAUAUAAUAUAGCUAUUGUAUAAGCUUUGAAACUCUAAGACCUAAUAUUAUACGCACUUAUAAAUAUAGCACAAUUAUCAUACCCCGUAACCUGAUGUUUUUUUAAAUCUGACUACUACAAAAUCUUAAAAUAUCAACAGACCAAAAACUUAAAACCAGUCAAAAGCAAACUGAUACACUGAGGAUUCUAUGAUGAUUUCCUUAAUUUAAAUGCUUCUACAAGUUAGGUUAAAAAAAAAAGUCAAUAACCCAGGGGAAAACUGCAAGAGAAUAUUUCACAGGAAAGAAAUGCGAGUGGAUUUUUUUUUCAAAUAGGAAAACAAGCUCUUAUUCAUUAAGCCAAAAUUAUAAAGAUGAAAUGCCCUUUCUCCUAUCAUAUUUGUGAAAAUAAAAGAGAUGGUGUGUUCUGUGAUGGCUUUCGUUUACAGAAACAGGACCUGCUAAUCUUGUUGGAGGGAAUGUAAAUGGUCCUAUACUCAUGACAAUUUAAAAUGUACACAUACCAUUUAACUCAGCAGUUCUACUUACAGAAAUUUCAUCCUCUAAAUAUACAUAGAUAAGUUCAAAAACAUAAACAAUAUAUAUUACAAAUGGUUUACAGUAGCUGUAACUGGAAAUACUCUAAAUGUAUACCAUAGGGUACUAAAUAUAUCCAUACAAUGAAAUAUAAUACAAAUAUUAGUGAGAAUAUAGCUCCAUCUAUAUGAAUAGAUUAAAAAAAUCCAAGAUAUAUUGUUCAGCAAAGACACAGAGACAUAUACUCAUUACAUUAUCUUUGUGUAAAUGGGAAUGGAGGUAAGGGGUCAGGGAAGGAGGUAACAUGUACACCAAUACAUAAAGUUUGUACACUGUCAGACUAUCUAGCGGGAUAUCCAACAAACUAGUAAAAGCAACCGACUCUGCAAAGGAUAAAUAAGAACUAGGGGUCAGGAAUGAAAGGGAUAAUUUUGUGUUAUUAAUCCUUUUGUAAUUAUUCAUUUUACUAUUAAUAAGUAUGAAACAAGCCCAACAUAAAGUACCUCUGGAAUCUUCUCUAUUCCUAUUAACAAAGCACUAAUUUACACCUAUCUCAUCUUUAAACAUCUAAAGGACCUCCACUCUUGACAUUCCGUACUUACUCAAAAUCAACCUUCAACACAGCAGUUAUUAUCUUCCUAAAACGCAGAAAUGAACCCACUGCUUACGGACUUGACAGACUGCUGUUUGGACUGUACCAUCUAAAGCACAGAAGGUAGUGUGCAUGCCCCACUACCACUUAGGAAAUAACAUGGUCCAACUCCAUGAUAAUGAUAGUAAAAAGAGAAAAACCACAAGCAAAAUGAUUGAAUAAAGGCAGAACACAUGGUUUAGCUACUUUUCCUUAUAGGAAGCUUUAAGGAAGUCAAGUAUUUAUGAAGUAAGAAAAGGCUGAAAUUACUGUAAGAAUCUAGAAUACAUGUAGAAGUAGAAACCUCUCGUUUCCAACCUGUUGGAUUUCUUGCUGACUGUAUAAAUGAUCAACUAAAUGUUUAGAGAUCAACUUGUAUAGCCCUCCUAUGGAAGAAAACUCUGUAAGGUGCAGAGUAAAUGAGUCCAAAACAGUACAAAGUAAAAGCCCAAAAUAUGAGUAACAGCCUACAAUAAGGCUGGUAAACCACUGCCCACGGCCAAAUCUGGCCCAAGGAAGGCCAGUGUUUGUACAUUAUGUGAGCUAAGAAUGGUUAGCCAUAUUUAUAUUUUUUUAAGUCAAAAGAAUCGUAUUUCGUGGCAGGUGAAAAUUACAUGAAAUUCAAUCAUCAGUGCCAAUAUAUAAGGUAUUAUUGGAACAGGGUCAUAUCCAUUUAUUGACAUACUGACUAUGGCUGCAUUUAUACCACAGUGGUAGAGUUGCGUAGUGACAACACAGGCCUAUAAUAUUUACUAUCUGGUCAUUUACAGACACAUGGUCUAGCUGUUUGGGUUUGAGUCUCAACUCCACUACUUAACUGAUUAAUAACCCUGGGCAAGUUACUUAAUACCUCAGUGCUUCAGUUUCUUUAUAGUAAUAGUAACCACCUCUUGAAAAGCACUUGGCACAAUUCCUGGCACUUAGUGCUAUAGAUAUUAGCUGCUUAAAACAUAUAGUACUACCAUUAUUAUUAACAUCACCAUCCAAAUUUUCUUCAACAAUCUUCAGAGGUUUGUUCUGCUCCACUAUGCGUAUGUCAAUUUUGUUGAAAUAUAACAGGCUAACUGUUCUUAAAUUAUGAAUAUUUUUAAAAUAUCUGAUUAAAGUCAAAAGAUUUCUUUCCAAAAAUGUAUUAUUGUAUCUAAUAUUUAUCAUUUUUCAUG
Molecule: long non-coding RNA, 4695 nt
Organism: Callithrix jacchus (white-tufted-ear marmoset)
Lineage: Eukaryota; Metazoa; Chordata; Mammalia; Primates; Cebidae
Source: RefSeq, a predicted model, not a curated record